UCAGAGUUAGUGGAGCAACGUUAAAUGUAGUAUUGGUAUGUGUUACUCUACAAGUUGUCUCUUGAAUCAACAGGUAGAUUAAGUAGAGUUUCUUUAAAAUUAAUUAAAUUAUCUUUUCUUGAACAUGAAUCAGUGAAAAAUGUAUCGAUACAGGGAAAAGAGAGCUCAAACUAAGGAUAGCCAGUGAAAAAAGAUUAUAUUUUUGAAAGCGUCUGUGAAGUAUACGAAGAAAUUCCUUGCAUUCCAACGUUGGUCCAGGGUCUCGCGAGGCCAGCAUCUAGAUGAGAAUGUUACUUUUGUGAUUACUCAUUCGGUGACAUCUGAGGAAUGUGAAGAAUUUCUACACUGUGGCAUGUGUGGCAUAGGUUGACAGAAAGAUAAGGUGCUGGAUAAUCCAAAUGGAUAACACAAGCCCAUUAUGGCCCAGCAUCUGCAGACGCAACAUCAACACGAAUUUUUACCACUUUGCGAUGUACUAUUCAAUAUAAUAUCUCUUGCUUCAUAUUUUUGUGACGUUGUUUUUGACUUUGCAAUGGUAUAUGCUCUUGCGCAUCAUUCUAUUGCUCCUCCAAUUCUUUUUCCCUUGAGCAUUAUUCUUAUAGCAACAUCAUUAAUUAUUUCUCAGAUUAUUAGUAUACGAUGGUAUUUAUGGGGUGCCAGAGGCAAAUUAACUGGUAAUACUAUAUCAGAUUGUAAUGAGAAAAAGGAAAGUAAUAAUUGGACAGUAUGGUGUGUCUUAUUACUUCAUUCCACUCAAGUAGGAGUAUUGUGGAGAUACUUCAAAUUAUUUAUUCCAGUUAAUUUAACUUAUGUCAAACACGAGGUGAGAGAACUUUGCGUAUUACGCCUUAUUCAUGCGUUCUGCGAGGCCGCGCCAAUGUUACUCUUGCAAUUAUAUCUAUUAUCCAUUGGGGUCAACAAUGAAUCAAAUACAGAUGUUGGUAAAGAGAAAGAAACUGAAAGCAGAGACAGUGACAAACUGGCGAAAUUGACUGCGGUAUCUGCUGGUCUAUCUUUGUGGAGUGUAUGUUGGGCAGUUGCUAGUUUUAGUAAGGGUGCAGCGCGUCUUCGUAAUUUAGAGCGUUUGGUACUUACAUGGCUAGGUGUGCUGGCACAACUAGCAUGGCGUUUGGGAACCGUAAGCGCUAGAGUAGGAGUAUUGGUAGCAUAUGCUUCACUCUACGGUGGACAGUGGCUCUUAAUUGUCAUGGCAUUACAUUGGCUAUCAAUGUUGAUGUGGCUACUGCUUACUCCGGAUGGUCUUUUUCACGGUGGUGAACAUUUACCUAUUAUAAGGAAAACAUUUUUAGCCUCGCUUCUUGCGUUUGUCUACAUAUUUGCAUACGUAAAUUUGCACGAAACGAAUCAUCGUCAGAAAAUGGUAAUUUUUUAUACAGUGAUGUUCUUGGAAAACAGUCUGCUCAUAGGUGUGUGGAUAGUGGGUAUCAAUAGAAGCGAUCUCCUUCCACACCAACACCACCCAAACCCUGUAACUUUAGUACUUACAUUUUUAGCUUUAUUCUUUGGUGGUAUGUUUUUCAUGGGUCUUUAUUAUAGGUUUUUUCACGUACGAAGAUUGAGGUAUGAAGCGGGUGGUAGAAUGACAGCUUCAAAUCUAACAGCUUUGUCAAAUCAGGAUAAUUUGGAAGAGAAACAAAUAGAAUACUCAGAGGAGAAAAAAGUAAACGCAAAUGUAGGAGUGAGAAGAGUUAAAUUGAGUAACGGUGGCAUACCAGGGGUAUUUAACUGUCGUUUUGCUAAUCCAGCUGUAGUUAAUCCGAAUCGUAAGAAAAAGAAACCAACUACAUUCGUACCUCCACCGCCGCCACAAUCACAAGCUGAAGCUGUAACGACUUCUAUAAAUACACUAGGAGAUACGAAACAAUGGCUUGGUGUAAAUAAUAAUUCACGUCAAUUAAUACCAUUCUGGAAAAAGUCCGUAAAUUCUAGUGUAAUCUUGAGUGAUCACUCAAACGAGCAAAAAAUCGGAGUAGAUGUUGGAACAACUGGAUCCCUGAGUGUUAAUUUGAUAAGAGAGAAACUUCAAGAAAAAAAACAACAGCAACUGCGAGAAUUAAGAGCUAUCCAAGAAGAGAUCAAAGAAGGAAAAUUAUUUCCUCCACCCUCAGCUUCGGCAUCCUCAUUCUCAUCGUCACCUGCAUCGAAUCAACAACCACCACCUAAUACAAAAUUACACACUUCUCCUAGUUCUCCUUUAUUUACAUCUGCACCGAUCACUUCGGGUGAUCAAAAUGGUGGAAUAACGUUAUCCUCAUGGCCACCGGUAAAAAUGCAUUGUCUUCUACCUCCACCACCUUCCUCCUCCUAUUAUCCAAACGUCCAUCCUUCGAAUUCAUGGAGAACGACGCAGAGAGAAAGAGCGGAUACACCGGAAAUCUUGCUCGCACCACGUUGUCUUCCUCAUCAUUACUCUCAUUGGCCACCUUCCACCCACAUUAAUCAUCGAUUACGUUUAAGCCAAAACGGUGGAGAAGAAAGUUCCAAGGGCGAAGGAGAAAUUGAAGGAGAAAUAAGCGAUAUGGAGGGUAGUCAAGUAUCGUUACCACGAAGCUAUACUCUUCCUCGCGAAUUUAAAUACAAUCAUCCAAAUAAUAUUGCCAGAGAUCGAGAACGACGAGUAGGAAGUAGUAAGGUGACAUCUUCACGUUUUUAUUUACCUUCUACCAAUAGCUCUGAUGGAGAUGUAGAUAGUGCGGAUAACGAAGAUGAAACAGAUUCCGAGGUACAUUUUCGUAUGAAGAACAAUCACAGGCAUAAUACUAAUGGUGAAACACAGCAGCAGCAACAGCAACAGCAACGAUAUAUAUUCGAAGAUAGUAACAAAAAUGAAUUCUUGCACUCUAAUUCAGACUCUGUGUCGGCUGUUAUCAUUUCUGGGAAUUCAUAUCUGAGUAACUCUCAAGGAUUGUUGCGACCAAGUCAAUUAUUCAGAAACAGGGUUAAACACGAAACGAAGCUUUGAAGUUUCUAAGUGCUUCUAUUAAGAGAUUGUAUAAUAGCUAAUUGAAGAUCUGAAACAAAAAAGACUGUAUGUGAUCUAUUUUUAUAAAAUUUAUACUUUUUUUAAUCGAGAUUGACAUUCCUAGGGUGCAGAGCAUGUUUGUACAUAAAGUAACAACGAAGCAACGAAGUAACAUUUUUUAAAUAGCACCGUUUCAUUUGUUCCUUGUAAAUGAUGGGGAAACCAUGUACAAAUUUAAUAUGUGUCGAUUUACCAGGUAUGUUUAUUUAAAUAAUCAGUUUUACAAUUUAAGAACUUAGGAUUCAAAAUAAUUAAUUUUAGUAUUUUACUUAUUAUACAAAUUCUUUUUCAAUAAAUUAUUUGUUUUCGCAAUUGUAUCGUAUAAAAAAAAAUACAUAGCCUAAAAACUGUAAACAAUAUCACUUUUUUAUACUUGAAUAUUUGAAUUUAUUGUAUUUUUUAUCAGUUAGGAAUUUUUUAGUUAAAAUUACAAUCUUACACAUGUAGCAAAAAUAUUUAUUAUGAACUGUUUAAUUUAUUGAUAGCUACAAUUAAAUAAACCGAAAUGAAUAUACAAUACAAAUGAUAUAAGAUACUUUAUACGUGUAUCUUUUUGUAUUGUAUAUGGCAUAUUUUCAUGUCUAUUAAAACUAUACAAAUCAGUAGUUAUGUACAACAAAAUCGUUAUAUAAAAACCAUUUACAUCUGUAUAAAGAAUUUAUAAAUUUAUAUGUUGUGCAAUACCAGUUUGUUGAUAAAAAAAUACUGAUCUUUGUGCUGACAUAACUAUUUCAUAAAGUAAUAGUACGAUAUAUAUACAAUAAAAGUUAACAAGGAACAAUAAUGAAAGUAUCAUAUUUUUGAUACUUUGAUUGAAUUCAGAUACCUUUUAAAGAAUAAUUUCAUUCUUAAAAUUUCUUGUAAGUUCUUUGUGCGGUAAGACGAUAGAAUUUAAUAUAAUUUUCUCAGCUGCUAAACGUACACUAGUACCUGAAAUGUAAAUAAUGUAGCAUUAUCUUUCUUUUUAAAUCGUUUUUUAAAUUAAUACAUUACUUACCGAGAAUUGUUAUAGAAGGAUUGAGCUUGCCAUUAGUAUUAAAUAGGGGCAAGUUUUCCAUUUUUGUAAAUGGCUUGUCAGGAUUAGGAUCACAUGGUGUUCCCUCUAUGCGCGCCCAUUCACCUACAUAGCUGCUUUUCCCAACUAUGCUAUGUAAAACAAUAGAAUGUGCUUGGAUGUGCGCAUUAGCUAAUAUAAUUGACUCUCUUAAUCUAACACCAGGAGCAAUAACAGCAUUUGGACCUAUGCUCACAUUUGGACCCAACUUAGCUGAAGGAUGAAUAUAUACAUCACCAAUAAUCUGACAUGGUCCAUUAACUGUAGUAGCAAGGCGGCUUGGAUGUUUUGCUUUAUAAAGAGCCAAAUAAUGUCGAUUAGCAUAUAUAGCGGAACCUGCUGUUUUAACCUGUGACCACCAUCUCAGAACAGCAUUUACAUCUGAACAAAUAAGUUUUAAGAGGUCUUACGUAAAAUUCUCUUGAUGUUGUCCUGCAUAAAAUGCAUCAGCCAUAGUUUGGAAAAUAUCUAAUGAAGCAAGAUAAAUUCCACAGUUUAUUAGAGGUGAAACAAAUGUUGAUGGUUUCUCCACAUAGUGAGCAACUACUCCUUCUUUAUCCAGAACCAUGCAUCCAUAAUUCAAAGACUGCUGUCUUGUUGCUUCCGUGGCCAUGAUAGUUAACAGUGCCUGUUUCUCUGUAUGGAAUUCAACUAUUUCUUGCAAAGCAAAAUCAGCACAGACAUCACCAUUCAUUACAAAGAAAUAUGUAGGACCACCGGAGCGUAUUUGAUCACGGAAAUGAUACAAGCCUCCUGCAGUUCCCAAAGGUGUAAAUUCUUGAAGAUACCUGAUGAUUAUAUUAUAAGUGCUUGCCAUUUCUUGAAUGAAUUGAGAUAAAUCGCUGGCAAGUUCAUGAAUUCCAGUUCAUUAAACAGGAUAAGAUAAGAGCUAGAAUUUCCUGGCAAAGAACAGUAGAGCAAACUUAAACAAACCCGGAUAAGAAAUUCUAUGAUUGGCAAAUGAGUAGAUGUAUACAAUUAUUAUACAAAAUAUGCAAAAUAAAAGAAUCUUUAGAAUAUAAAUAAAUGAAAUAAAAUUCAUACAA
Molecule: non-coding RNA, 5143 nt
Organism: Osmia lignaria (orchard mason bee)
Lineage: Eukaryota; Metazoa; Arthropoda; Insecta; Hymenoptera; Megachilidae
Source: RefSeq, a predicted model, not a curated record